GAUGAACGCUGGCGGCGUGCCUAAUACAUGCAAGUAGAACGCUGAAGAGAGGAGCUUGCUCUUCUGGGAUGAGUUGCGAACGGGUGAGUAACGCGUAGGUAACCUGCCUGGUAGCGGGGGAUAACUACUGGAAACGAUAGCUAAUACCGCAUAAUAUGGUUUACCGCAUGAUACUCUAUUGAAAGGUGCAAAUGCAUCACUACCAAGUGGAAUUCCGUGGUAUUAGCUAGUUGGUGGGGUAACGGCUCACCAAGGCGACGAUACGUAGCCGCCCUGAGAGGGUGAUCGCCCACACGGGAACUGAGACACGGCCAAGACCCCACGGGGAGGAACCAGAGGGGAACCUCGGGCAAGGGGCGAAAGCUGGACGGAGAAAGGCGGGGUGGUUGAGGAAGGUCUCCGGUCGGUAAAACCUGUUUAUUGGGAAAGAAGAGAUGGAGAGUGAAAUGUUCACGCUGUGACGGUACCUAACCAGAAAGCGACGGCUAACUACGUG
This 496-nucleotide ribosomal RNA is filed under the name uncultured bacterium. Its description in RNAcentral is "partial 16S ribosomal RNA". It matches the Rfam family "Bacterial small subunit ribosomal RNA", at positions 28 to 507 of the family's 1533-position model. The record is from RNAcentral.